This 1086-nucleotide long non-coding RNA is filed under the name Anser cygnoides (Swan goose). RNAcentral describes it as "lncRNA (ENSACDG00005008705.1)". The record is from RNAcentral. Lineage: Eukaryota; Metazoa; Chordata; Aves; Anseriformes; Anatidae.
GUUUUCUGACCUCAAAAUGGUUUUGGGGUCUGAAAAAGGCAGACUUGGGCCCUGAAAAUUGGGGAUUUUGACUGAAAAAAGAGACUUCUAAGGCCUGCAGCAAGGCUUUGUGUCCUUAAACAGGAAGGGGGAUUACUAAAAGAGACCCCCCAAAAAAGGCUUUUUAACCCCAAAAUGAGACUGACUUCAAAACAGGGUUUGGGGCUGAAAAGGGCAGUUUUGGGCCCUCAAAAUGGGGGGGGGGGGCUGGAGUGUGUGUGGGUGCACGCUGGGCCCUCUCCCAACCCCUCCCAUUCUCCCAGUUCCCUCCAGUCCCUCCCAGUGCUCCCAGUUGCCCCCCACCCAUGAUUUUGGGGUCCCCCCCUUCAAUCCGGGGGGGGCCACAAGCAGCUCAGCUUCCAAUGUGUUUAUUCCUCCGUUGCCCCAUUCUGGGGUCCCCCCCCAAAAAUUUGGGGACCCCCCCCCAAUAGGGGGCAUCCCAGAUGUCCCCUUUUAGGGCAACUGGGGGGGGGGCACCCCAUUUUUGUUGCUUUCGGGGCCUCUGUGGGUUUUUGGGGUGGCUCAAUUUGGGGGGGGGCACUGCCAGUCUCCUGGGAUCCCCCCUUCUUUUUUGGGGGGAUCCUGGUUUCGGGGGGAUUCCUGCUUUUUUGGGGUGUCCCCAUGAUGGCUUGGUUUCGGGGUGUCCCCGUUUUGGGGUGCCCCACUUCUGGGGUGCUCCAGUUUUGGGGAUUCUUCUUGGUGAAGGAUGGGGGGGGGUCCAAAAUGCCCCAGUUUUUUGGGGGUGCCAGUUUUUGGGGUGCCCCGUUUUCAGGGUGCCACAGUUUUGGGGUCGCUCCAUUUCAGGGCGCCACUCUUUCGGGGUGCCGCUCCUUUGGGGUUCUUCUCUGUGAAGGGGGGGGGGCAAAAUGCUCCAGUUUCGGGGUGCCACAGUUUUUGGGGUGCCACAGUUUUUGGGGUGCCACAGUUUUUGGGGUGUCCCCGUUUUUGGGGGUGCCAGUUCUGGGGUUCUUCUUGGUGAAGGGGGAUCCCAAACCGCUCCGGUUUCGGGGCGCCCCCGCUGCCGUCUCCUCCUCUCUCGCCGCGUCG